UCUGCUCCCACCUGCAGGAACGUUUCAUUAGCCAAGAAGUAUGAAGAGGAGGAACCAACGAAGGACUCUGACCCUAAGCCCAGGUCUGGAGACCAGGACAGAAGAAGGAAAAGGACCAGAAGCAGGUCCAGGUCCAGGUCCAAAGAACGCUCAGAGGGAAGAAAAAGGAGCAGAACCAGGUCCGCAUCCAUAGAACAAUCCAGCAACUCCUCCAGACAGAACCAGAAUAAAGAGACCUCAAAAGAACCAGGUGAGGAGGUAGACCUGAAGAGCAGCGUCAGGAAGGUGGCCAAGCCCGGUUCUGGGUUGGAGGGUGGUUCUGGUGAUUGACAGGUUUGACAGCAGCUUUACCUUUAAUCCAGAACCAACUGAGGCAGAACAAAAACCCAAAUAAUGGGAUUGUCAGUGCUGCCCGUGGUCUCAUGAUCAUGGAGAAACAUCCGCUGGAAAACACAUUGAUCUCACUCUUCCACCGUAUUCUGCUCCUCAUCCUCCUCUUUGCUCAGAGCCUCCUCUCAGAGUGGAGCUCCAGACGGUCACAGGUAACAUCCCACACCAAGAAGCUGCUGGUGACGAUGAGGAGGACAGCAUGUCCACCGACGGGAGUGACAAGGGGAUGGAGGUGAUCGCAGAGGACGGGAGGAUGAUCAAGGAUAAGGAUGAAGAAAGCCUGAAAGAGGAAAGUGCUGAGGAGAACAGGACCUCUGAAGAGAUGCCAGCCUCAUCUGAGAGAGAAGAGGAGAAGAAAAUGGACACUGAGGAUGAGGAGAAGACUUCAGCGGGAGCAGAGGAGAUGGACGUGAAGGAUGCAGGCGCCGAAGAUCAGGAGCAGCUCAUGACUGAGGAGAAAGAGGGAGAGGAGGAGAGGCUGAGGGAGAUAAAGGAGGAGGAGACGGAGGAAGCUGGUUUCCCCCUGAACCUGGAGGACUGCAUCACUCUGGAUGAAGUUCACUCAGAUGAUGAAGGUGAAGGUGACGGAGGUGAAGCGUCUCAGCUGGAGGCCAGCAGGGUGGUGUCCUUCAGCGCCGUACCGCAGGGCUGCACCCACGCAGAGCUCAUCAAAGUCAUGAGAGGCUUUGGGACGGUGGUUCGAUACCUGUUGAUCCGGGACCAGCAGCAGGCCUUCGUGGAAAUGUCGAGUCCCUCCGAGGCUCAAACUGCUGCAGAGGAGCUGAACUCCAACUGCAUCAGCAUCAACGGCUGCCGGCUGAUCGGCUCUGUGUCACGGGAAAAUACCAGACUCACCGACGGGUGGGACGUUAAAGGUGACGAAGAUGAGGAGAGGAGGAGUGAGCAAAGUGACAGGAGAACCUCCGAACCAGAGGAGAAGCCAUCUGAGGAGGUUCGUGAGAAAGACGCAUCAGAGACGGAGGUUCAGGAAGGAGAGGAGACGCCAGAGACGAGUCAAGAGACUCCUUCAGACAAGACGGGAGAAAAUAAAACUGAGGGAAAAGAGAGCAGAGAGACUCCAGCAAAGAAAACGGUUCCCGAAGACAAGAAUCCACCUGAAGAUCAGGAUCUCCAACAGCAAAGAGACGCCGAGAAGCUGAGCGACUCCCAUGAACCUGAAGUGAGGGAUCCAGAGAGAGCGGAUCAUCCAGAAACCGCUGAACAGAAUGCUGUGGCGGCGCCACCUUUUGCACCUGCAGGGGGCGCCACUGAAGCAGAACGACUCUCCAAGGCCGUUGGUAAGAUCAACACGCCACCAUCCUGGUUCAGGGGUUCUGUUCUCACUGUAGGCCCGUUGAACGUCCCGGCAUUCAUUGCACCCACGGUCUUGUGUUGCAGGAGCUGA
RNAcentral lists this long non-coding RNA (1795 nucleotides) under Oryzias sinensis (Chinese medaka). RNAcentral describes it as "lncRNA (ENSOSIG00000000339.1)". The record is from RNAcentral. Lineage: Eukaryota; Metazoa; Chordata; Actinopteri; Beloniformes; Adrianichthyidae.